AUGCUUGCUUCGGCAGCACAUAUACUAAAAUUGGAACAAUACAGAGAAGACGAGCGGGGCCCCUGCGCAAGGAUGACUCGCAAGUUUGGGAAGCAUUCCAUCUUGGG
RNAcentral lists this small nuclear RNA (107 nucleotides) under Carlito syrichta (Philippine tarsier). Lineage: Eukaryota; Metazoa; Chordata; Mammalia; Primates; Tarsiidae. The record is from RNAcentral.